CAGCAGCUGCCAUCUCAAGCCAUACCAUUAAAAAAGCUUGAAGCUAUUCCAAUCGCUGAUGAAACUCUGCUGAAUUUUUCCAAUAAUGCUUAUUCAACAUUGUUGAUAAAAGGAAUGACAAUGAAGUUUCACUACCUCAAGUAGAAGCUAUCGCUGGGCCUAGUAACUCGGAUUCAUUCAUGCCUGGACAGCAGCUGCCAUCUCAAGCCAUGCCAUUACAAAAGCUUGAAGCUAUUCCAAUCACUGAUGAAACUCAGCUGAAUUUUUCCAAUAAUGCUGAUUCAAACAUUGUUGAUAAAAGGAAUGACAAUGAAGUUUCACUACCUCAAGUAGAAGCUAUCGCUGGGCCUAGUAACUCGGGCGUAUCUCAAGAGCAAUGGCAUCGUGCAUCAAACCACUGUUCCUGGCUCCGCUGCUCAGAACGGGGUCGCAGAACGCGCGAACAGGACCGUGAUGCAGGCUGCAAGAUGCGGGCCUAAGCAACGAAUUCUGGGCGGAGGCCGUUAACACGCGUCAAAAACCGCUGUCCUACGAAAGCUGUACUGGGGAGCACUCCCGAAGAAAAGUGGAGUGGGAAAAAGGUAUCUCUAAGUCAUUUACGUAUCUUUGGUUCUGUGGCUUAUGCGAUGACUUUGAUGCGUUCAAAAUUAGAUCCGAAAGGCAAAAAGUACAUUUUUGUUGGGUAUUGUCAGCAUACAAAGGGUUAUUAUAAUAGUGACGGAAAUAUAAUAAUGUGAUAUAUUUUUAGAACCGGCUCUGAAUGCCCUUUCAUUUAAUACCACACACGAUUGGUUUCUGAACAAAAAAGUUUUUUUUUCCAUACAAAAAAAGAUGACGUCAUAACUCUUCUACUUUUUUUUCUUUUGGUGCUACGGGUCAAAUUGAUUCAAAUGGUCUAAAGAUAAAUCGUACCGAUUUUCAUACCUUUAACACCAUUUGCAGCUAAUUCCCGAAUUUCAGGCUGUACCGCUAACACUAGUAGUGAGUGGUAAAUCAUAAAUCAUUUAUUUUUCGUGAUAAACUUAUUUUACAUACAAAAGUAACAAUGAUAAGGUUAGACAUAGGUACAUAAUUACAUAUUGUUUACCAUGAAAUGGGCUCGCCUCAGCAUAAUGCCGACCCGAGAGUCGGCGCUGGUCUUCCGGCGAGUCCAUUUUUGUGGGCCACGAUCACAGCUGUGGUACGUCUGAUGAUGCCAAUUUGACAUAAAAUUCUCAGAGUACGAGCGAUCGAACGAGUACGGUCAUAAUACAUGAUUCGUCUAGCUCAGGUGAAUGUGAUGAUCCGGCCGAUGCAACUUAUAUUCCAGAGGAGGAGAGUACGGAUACUUCGGACAGUUCAACGGGUUCUCCACAUUUUGGAUUCCUAGCGGGCACGUCCAAUCCAGAUGCUCCACUAUACAAGAAGCACUGAGUGGUCCAGACGCUGACAAUUGGAGGGAAGCAAUGUCUUAGACCCACUGGAAAGCAGCCAAAAGAGUCUUGCGCUACUUGAAAGGUACCUUGGAUCUCCGUUUGACUUUUAAGAAAAGCAAGCAGCAGCUGGAUAUCACUGGAUAUGCGGAUGCAGACUGGGGCAGUGACGACGUAGAC
Cydia splendana is the source of this 1592-nucleotide long non-coding RNA. RefSeq lists it as uncharacterized. NCBI's taxonomy places the organism in Eukaryota, Metazoa, Arthropoda, Insecta, Lepidoptera, Tortricidae. The record is from RefSeq and is a predicted model, not a curated record. The transcript has 4 exons.